Lagopus muta (rock ptarmigan) is the source of this 962-nucleotide long non-coding RNA. RefSeq lists it as uncharacterized. Lineage: Eukaryota; Metazoa; Chordata; Aves; Galliformes; Phasianidae. The record is from RefSeq and is a predicted model, not a curated record. The transcript has 4 exons.
AUGUGCCAUGGAGAAGAUGCAAAGUCACAGUGAUGCUGAGAGGGAACCUAACAAAGUUGGGCAGAUACACAGAAACCACAGCUGAAGGUGAUACUUGUCCUUUCUUUUUUGCUUCAGGAUCUCUGCAUUAUAAUGUGCUGCGGCAAAUUUCAAUGAAUCAUCUGAUCUUGUGUCAGAGCUGGAGUGUUCCCUGUUGUGUUGCCAACCUCCUUUCCUCAACUGACAUUUGAACAUUUUCCAGUAUUCUGGAUUCCUAGAAGAUUCAUCUGUGCUCUCAGUUGAAACAAUACUUAGCACCAAGAGUCUGCUGUGAUUGCUAUGAUUCCUUGCCCAUCCUUUCACUCGUGAAUUGUUGACUUCCCAAAAAGAAGAGCGGUUCUCAACAAGUGGGUCACAGACGAACCUCCCUGCUGAACAAACAACUACUUCAGCCAACGUCUGCCUGCUACCAGCUCCCUCAAGAUGUGAAAAGAGAAUGGUGUGAGUAGCCUCAUUCCUGCCAGGCUGUUUCCUAAGAGCCCUUGAGUGGAAGUACACUGAUGAAACAAUGUAGGAAAUGACAAGUGAUGGGAAUAUGUCACACAGGAGGUCACAGCUAGGAGGCUCCUUGUAUAUCCAGUCACAAAGCUGGAUGCUAGUCCAUUACAUAAAGGGUGCAGAGAGGGAGAGUGUUUGCUCAUCUAGCAUCUAAUAGCUACACCCAGCAGAUGGAGGGCUGGCACAGAAUAGGAAAGGGAACCGGUACCUAACACCUUCCAAUCACUUCCUAAAAACUGUUAAGUCAUCUGUAGACAAAAUGUUGGCCACUGCUGUUUUAGUUAUCUGAAUUACAGGCCUAGAUCAGUAGAAAAAUAAGUUCAAAAUUACUUGGUUGAAGCGAGAUUAUAUAUGAUUGAAAUAAUUUUGCUUAUGAAAUCCCUCUCUGGUGAGGAAGUCAACUCUGUGUGUGUGUGUGUGUGUGU